RNAcentral lists this ribosomal RNA (375 nucleotides) under uncultured eukaryote. RNAcentral describes it as "partial 18S ribosomal RNA". It matches the Rfam family "Eukaryotic small subunit ribosomal RNA", at positions 592 to 976 of the family's 1831-position model. The record is from RNAcentral.
CAAUAGCGUAUAUUUAAGUUGUUGCAGUUAAAAAGCUCGUAGUUGGAUUUCGGUUAAGAGCGACCGGUCCGCCGUUUGGUGUGCACUGGUUGGUUUUAACUUCCUGUAGAGGACGUGCUCUGGGUUUAACGACCUGGACUCGGAGUCUACGUGGUUACUUUGAAAAAAUUAGAGUGUUCAAAGCGGGCUUACGCUUGAAUAUUUCAGCGUGGAAUAACACUAUAGGACUCCUGUCCUAUUUCGUUGGUCUCGGGACGGGAGUAAUGAUUAAGAGGAACAGUUGGGGGCAUUCGUAUUUCAUUGUCAGAGGUGAAAUUCUUGGAUUUAUGAAAGACGAACUUCUGCGAAAGCAUUUGCCAAGGAUGUUUUCAUUAA